AGCACACCGCGGAACUGGUUCUUGGCAAUGAUUGGACCGGCGAAAUCCCCUCCGCUUGUGCCCGAACUUCCAGCCAUUUUAAGGCUCCCGGAUCGAUCAGACCGGCCACGAACAAUGCCAGAGAACCAUGAAGUAGCAACCAGAAUCAGAAGACAACGUGAAGGAGACAGCGAUUUGCUACCAUUGCUGUUUGAAGAAGAUCUGAUGGAUUCUAAGUUCUGGAUUUGUACUUUUCCAAUCGCCACAGCUAGGAUG
Molecule: unclassified non-coding RNA, 255 nt
Filed under: Hevea brasiliensis (rubber tree)
Lineage: Eukaryota; Viridiplantae; Streptophyta; Magnoliopsida; Malpighiales; Euphorbiaceae
Source: RNAcentral